AACGAACGCUGGCGGCAGGCCUAACACAUGCAAGUCGAGCGCCCUUUCGGGGGAGCGGCGGACGGGUGAGUAACGCGUGGGAAUAUGCCCUUCUCUACGGAAUAGUCCUGGGAAACUGGGGGUAAUACCGUAUACGCCCUUUGGGGGAAAGAUUUAUCGGGGAAGGAUUAGCCCGCGUUGGAUUAGGUAGUUGGUGGGGUAAUGGCCUACCAAGCCGACGAUCCAUAGCUGGUUUGAGAGGAUGAUCAGCCACACUGGGACUGAGACACGGCCCAGACUCCUACGGGAGGCAGCAGUGGGGAAUCUUAGACAAUGGGGGCAACCCUGAUCUAGCCAUGCCGCGUGAGUGAUGAAGGCCUUAGGGUUGUAAAGCUCUUUCAGCUGGGAAGAUAAUGACGGUACCAGCAGAAGAAGCCCCGGCUAACUCCGUG
RNAcentral lists this ribosomal RNA (431 nucleotides) under uncultured bacterium. Its description in RNAcentral is "partial 16S ribosomal RNA". It matches the Rfam family "Bacterial small subunit ribosomal RNA", at positions 29 to 507 of the family's 1533-position model. The record is from RNAcentral.